Aegilops tauschii subsp. strangulata is the source of this 187-nucleotide non-coding RNA. NCBI's taxonomy places the organism in Eukaryota, Viridiplantae, Streptophyta, Magnoliopsida, Poales, Poaceae. The record is from RefSeq and is a predicted model, not a curated record.
GGUGGAGGAGCAGAAAGAAGUUGGACGUGCUCUCCCAACGAGGUGUUGGUCAAUGCCCUUGUCAGCAGUGGCCGCACCUGCGUUCUUGUGUCCGAGGAGGACGAGGAGGCUUCAUACUUGGACCGAAAGCUCCGUGGGAAGUACUGUGUCUGCUUUGAUCCCCUGGAUGGCUCCUCCAACAUCAACU